AUGGCUCCGUGGCCUCACGGGAACAGCUCUCUGGCUUCGUGGUCGGAUGUCCCUACCCUGACGCCCAAUACGGCCAACACGAGUGGGCUGCCGGGGGUGCCGUGGGCAGUGGCAUUGGCCGGGGCGCUGUUGGCGCUGGCGGUGCUGGCCACCGUGGGAGGCAACCUGCUGGUCAUCGUGGCCAUCGCUAGGACGCCGAGACUCCAGACCAUGACCAACGUGUUCGUGACCUCUCUGGCCACAGCAGACCUGGUGGUGGGACUCCUGGUAGUGCCGCCGGGGGCCACCUUGGCGCUGACCGGCCGCUGGCCCCUGGGCGCCACUGGCUGCGAGCUGUGGACCUCAGUGGACGUGCUGUGUGUGACGGCCAGCAUUGAAACCCUGUGCUCCCUGGCCGUGGACCGCUACCUGGCAGUGACGAACCCGCUGCGCUACGGCGCACUGGUCACCAAACGGCGCGCCCGGGCCGCAGUGGUACUGGUGUGGGUCGUGUCCGCGGCGGUGUCAUUUGCGCCUAUCAUGAGCAAAUGGUGGCGCGUGGGAGCCGACGCCGAGGCGCAGCGCUGCCACUCCAACCCGCACUGCUGCGCCUUCGCCUCCAACAUACCCUACGCGCUGCUCUCCUCCUCCGUCUCCUUCUACCUUCCGCUUCUUGUGAUGCUCUUCGUCUACGCGCGCGUUUUCGUCGUGGCUACGCGCCAACUGCGCCUGCUGCGCGGAGAGCUGGGCCGCUUCCCGCCAGAGGAGUCUCCGCCGGCCGCGUCUCGCUCUCUGUCCCCCGUCCCGGCGGGGCCGUGCGCUUCGCCCUCAGGGGUGCCCUCCUACGGCCGGCGGCCCGCGCGCCUUCUGCCUCUCCGGGAACACCGGGCCCUGCGCACCUUGGGUCUCAUCAUGGGGACCUUCUCUCUCUGCUGGUUGCCCUUCUUUGUGGCCAAUGUGGUGCGCGCCCUCGGGGGCCCCUCUCUGGUUCCCAGCCCGGUUUUCCUGGCCCUUAACUGGCUAGGCUAUGCCAACUCUGCCUUUAACCCGCUCAUCUACUGCCGCAGCCCCGACUUUCGCAGCGCGUUCCGCCGCCUGCUGUGCCGCUACCGGCGGGAGGAGCGCCGAGCAGCAGCUUCCAGGCCUGGCGGAACCUCUGGCGCCCCUGCGGCGCGGACCAGGCCCGCAGAGUCCAGGCCGUGCCCGCCGCUGGACGGGUAGGUAACCGAGGCCAACCGAAGGCUCAGGAUCCGGAAGCAUUCGGCGUCUCUUGUGGUCAUUUCUCGGAGUUUGGGGCUGGGGCUGGGGAGGACCCUGCAGCGAAAGAAGGGGAGACAUGGAAUAGGGAACCGAAAUGGACCCAGGACACUUUCUUCUCCCACAUCCCACCCACCUGCCCCAGGGUUGAAGCAAAGAAAGGCAGAAGAUUGUUCUUCACCCCAGUACCCGGGGUGGGAAGUGCCGCCUCGAAAUGCCUCUGUAUCCUGAGCCUGCCUGGUCAGCGUUAGAUUUUUCUAGCCCAGUUCUUUGGCCUCGCAUAUUUCUCGACACCACUUGGGCUGGCUUUGACUUGCAGAGAAGAGAGGCCCUCCCAAGCUUUAGCCUCAGCUGUGGUUUCUUUGAAAGGUUUGACAGCUGUGGAGCAGCUGAAGUAUCCAGCGGCCUGUGAUCAGCUGGCCCCUGGAACAGCCGGACUAGCCUCGGUGGGACACCUGUCACCUUGCUCACUUCUGUGCUGUGUGCUUAGGGCAAAGACAUCACUCCUCCUUCUAUCCCUUGCGCUGCCUAGACCUGAUGGACCACUCAGUGCUCCUCACGCUCAGUGGCCGAGGCUGGGAGCAGGAAUCUAACAAAGGUGCAGCUUUGGGGUUUUCUCCCUGACCCCAUCACUACGGAUCUCUAAGUACCGGCCUCCCCAACUUUGGACACAAGACAGCUCUGAUCUACCUCACAGCAGUGCCAGAAGGACUCUUCAGGGGUAUUGGGGUGGGGGGAGGCUCCAGGAUUUAUAGGAGGGUGAAUCAUCAGAACAGAU
RNA transcript from Suricata suricatta (meerkat), 2014 nucleotides. It is a transcript of the gene named adrenoceptor beta 3, with no coding region annotated. Lineage: Eukaryota; Metazoa; Chordata; Mammalia; Carnivora; Herpestidae. The record is from RefSeq and is a predicted model, not a curated record. The transcript has 2 exons.